CUUUUGUAUAAUGGGUCAGCGACUUAUAUUCUGUAGCAAGGUUAACCGAAUAGGGGAGCCGAAGGGAAACCGAGUCUUAACUGGGCGUUAAGUUGCAGGGUAUAGACCCGAAACCCGGUGAUCUAGCCAUGGGCAGGUUGAAGGUUGGGUAACACUAACUGGAGGACCGAACCGACUAAUGUUGAAAAAUUAGCGGAUGACUUGUGGCUGGGGGUGAAAGGCCAAUCAAACCGGGAGAUAGCUGGUUCUCCCCGAAAGCUAUUUAGGUAGCGCCUCGUGAAUUCAUCUCCGGGGGUAGAGCACUGUUUCGGCAAGGGGGUCAUCCCGACUUACCAACCCGAUGCAAACUGCGAAUACCGGAGAAUGUUAUCACGGGAGACACACGGCGGGUGCUAACGUCCGUCGUGAAGAGGGAAACAACCCAGACCGCCAGCUAAGGUCCCAAAGUCAUGGUUAAGUGGGAAACGAUGUGGGAAGGCCCAGACAGCCAGGAUGUUGGCUUAGAAGCAGCCAUCAUUUAAAGAAAGCGUAAUAGCUCACUGGUCGAGUCGGCCUGCGCGGAAGAUGUAACGGGGCUAAACCAUGCACCGAAGCUGCGGCAGCGACACUGUGUGUUGUUGGGUAGGGGAGCGUUCUGUAAGCCUGUGAAGGUGUACUGUGAGG
This 663-nucleotide ribosomal RNA is filed under the name Escherichia coli. RNAcentral's name for it is "partial 23S ribosomal RNA". It matches the Rfam family "Bacterial large subunit ribosomal RNA", at positions 605 to 1268 of the family's 2925-position model. Lineage: Bacteria; Pseudomonadati; Pseudomonadota; Gammaproteobacteria; Enterobacterales; Enterobacteriaceae. The record is from RNAcentral.